GAGAAAGUUAUUGAGGCUAUAAUAUUGGCUUGAAACCAGUUUUGGGGGGUUCGAUUCCUUCCUUUCUUA
Molecule: transfer RNA, 69 nt
Filed under: Erinaceus europaeus (western European hedgehog)
Lineage: Eukaryota; Metazoa; Chordata; Mammalia; Eulipotyphla; Erinaceidae
Rfam family: tRNA
About the family: Transfer RNA (tRNA) molecules are approximately 80 nucleotides in length. Their secondary structure includes four short double-helical elements and three loops (D, anti-codon, and T loops).
Source: Rfam by way of RNAcentral